RNAcentral lists this long non-coding RNA (218 nucleotides) under Panax ginseng (ginseng). RNAcentral describes it as "long non-coding RNA (PGIN_LNC017812)". The record is from RNAcentral. Lineage: Eukaryota; Viridiplantae; Streptophyta; Magnoliopsida; Apiales; Araliaceae.
UUCAGUUUAUCUUUGUCGAUGUAUAUGAAUUUGUAUUUUAAUGUUAAUAUUAAUUGUAUUUGGUGAGUGUUUUAAAUUUUUAAACAAGUUCUAUUGGCAUAAAUGUAAAAUGGUGAUGCUCGGUGAGUCUAGGACCCAGAAUUAUGGGUAAAGACUAAAGAGUCCUCCCCGUCUCCCUUGAUGUAUUUCUGUUAUACCAUCUUCUUUUAAAAUAUGAG